UACGGCUCCAGUAAACACGUGGACACACCUACCCUAGUGGAGGGGGAUAACCCCGGGAAACUGGGGAUAAUACCCCAUAGACUAUAGAUGCUGGAAUGCUUUGUAGUUGAAAGGUCCGCCGCCAUAGGAUGGGUCUGCGGCCGAUUAGGUUGUUGUUGGGGUAACGGCCCAACAAGCCUGUAAUCGGUACGGGUUGUGGGAGCAAGAGCCCGGAGAUGGAUUCUGAGACACGAAUCCAGGCCCUACGGGGCGCAGCAGGCGCGAAAACUUUACAAUGCGGGAAACCGUGAUAAGGGAACUCCGAGUGCCCGUAAAAUCGGGCUGUCCAUCUGUUUAAAUAACAGGUGAAGAAAGGGCCGGGCAAGACCGGUGCCAGCCGCCGCGGUAAUACCGGCGGCUCGAGUGGUGGCCACUAUUACUGGGCUUAAAGCGUUCGUAGCUGGUCUGUUAAGUCUCUGGGGAAAUCUACUGGCUUAACCAAUAGGCGUCUCAGGGAUACUGGCAGACUAGGGACCGGGAGAGGUGAGAGGUACUCCAGGGGUAGGAGUGAAAUCCUGUAAUCCUUGGGGGACCACCUGUGGCGAAGGCGUCUCACCAGAACGGCUCCGACAGUGAGGGACGAAAGCUGGGGGAGCAAACCGGAUUAGAUACCCGGGUAGUCCCAGCCGUAAACGAUGCGCGUUAGGUGUAUCGGUGACCACGAGUCACCGAGGUGCCGAAGAGAAAUCGUGAAACGUGCCGCCUGGGAAGUACGGUCGCAAGGCUGAAACUUAAAGGGAAUUGGGCGGGGGGGAG
RNAcentral lists this ribosomal RNA (795 nucleotides) under uncultured archaeon. RNAcentral's name for it is "bacterial SSU rRNA". It matches the Rfam family "Archaeal small subunit ribosomal RNA", at positions 83 to 878 of the family's 1478-position model. The record is from RNAcentral.